UACGGAGGGGGCGAGCGUUAUUCGGAAUUAUUGGGCGUAAAGGGCGCGUAGGCGGCUUUCUAAGUCAAAGGUGAAAUCCCUCGGCUCAACUGAGGAACUGCCUUUGAAACUGGAAGGCUUGAGGCCGGGAGGGGGUAGCGGAAUUCCCAGUGUAGCGGUGAAAUGCGUAGAUAUUGGGAGGAACACCAGUGGCGAAGGCGGCUACCUGGACCGGUUCUGACGCUGAUGCGCGAAAGCGUGGGGAGCGAACAGG
RNAcentral lists this ribosomal RNA (253 nucleotides) under uncultured bacterium. Its description in RNAcentral is "partial 16S ribosomal RNA". It matches the Rfam family "Bacterial small subunit ribosomal RNA", at positions 524 to 776 of the family's 1533-position model. The record is from RNAcentral.